RNAcentral lists this ribosomal RNA (500 nucleotides) under uncultured bacterium. RNAcentral describes it as "partial 16S ribosomal RNA". It matches the Rfam family "Bacterial small subunit ribosomal RNA", at positions 28 to 523 of the family's 1533-position model. The record is from RNAcentral.
GAUGAACGCUGGCGGAAUGCUUUACACAUGCAAGUCGAACGAUGAACCUUAGCUUGCUAAGGGGAUUAGUGGCGAACGGGUGAGUAAUGUAGCGGAACGUAUCCAAUAAUGGGGGAUAACUAGUCGAAAGAUUAGCUAAUACCGCAUACGUCCUACGGGAGAAAGCUAGGGACCUUCGGGCCUGGCGUUAAUGGAGCGGCCGAUAUCUGAUUAGCUAGUAGGUGGGGUAAAGGCUCACCAAGGCGACGAUCAGUAGCUGGUCAGAGAGGACGACUAGCCACACUGGAACUGUGACACGGUCCAGACUCCUACGGGAGGCAGCAGUGGGGAAUUUUGGACAAUGGGCGAAAGCCUGAUCCAGCCAUUCCGCGUGAGUGAAGAAGGCCUUCGGGUUGUAAAGCUCUUUCGCAAGAGAAGAAAACUUAAGCUCUAACAUAGCUUGAGGUUGACGGUACCUUGAUAAGAAGCACCGGCUAACUACGUGCCAGCCGCCGCGGUAA